CGGAUGAACGCUGGCGGCGUGCCUAACACAUGCAAGUCGAGCGUGAACCCUGCGAAUGAAACUUCGGUCGAUUUUGCAGGGGGAAAGCGGCGGACGGGUGAGUAAUACAUGAGCAACCUGCCUUAAAGAGGGGGAUAACACUGGGAAACCGGUGCUAAUACCGCAUGACGCAUAGAGGAGGCAUCUCCUUUAUGCCAAAGGAGCAAUCCGCUUUAAGAUGGGCUCAUGUCUGAUUAGAUAGUUGGUAGGGUAACGGCCUACCAAGUCUACGAUCAGUAGCCGGACUGAGAGGUCGGACGGCCACAUUGGAACUGAGAUACGGUCCAGACUCCUACGGGAGGCAGCAGUGGGGAAUAUUGGGCAAUGGGCGAAAGCCUGACCCAGCGACGCCGCGUGAGGGAAGAAGGUCUUCGGAUUGUAAACCUCUGUUGACAGGGACGAAGGAAGUGACGGUACCUGUUGAGGAAGCCACGGCUAACUACGUG
This 485-nucleotide ribosomal RNA is filed under the name uncultured bacterium. RNAcentral's name for it is "bacterial SSU rRNA". It matches the Rfam family "Bacterial small subunit ribosomal RNA", at positions 27 to 507 of the family's 1533-position model. The record is from RNAcentral.